RNAcentral lists this unclassified non-coding RNA (611 nucleotides) under Hevea brasiliensis (rubber tree). Lineage: Eukaryota; Viridiplantae; Streptophyta; Magnoliopsida; Malpighiales; Euphorbiaceae. The record is from RNAcentral.
AUGUAUUAUUUUAUGAUUUAGGGAUUAUUAAGUUUAAGAAACUAAUGGUUUCUUCGAAUUUAAAGAUUAUUAAUUUAGGAUUUAUUAGGAUUAGUGGUUAAUUUAAAUAUUAGUGUCAGAGUGGAUGUUAUAAAACAUGAUUAGGCAUGCUAACGUAGCAAAGCUGUAACUCUAACAGCUGAAAUUGACAGAAGGAAAGAAUUAAUUUGAUUUUCAUAGGUAAGGAUGAAAUUAUUAAAAAAAAAUAUAUAUGGUAAAAUUGUAAAAAUUGUGAAAGAUUGAAAUUUUUUGAGCUAUUUUCCCUGUUAUUAAUUACCACCUUAGUUUUUUAUUAUGCAAAAUGUGUUAUUAUUUCUUCAUUGUGAAUGACUAUAAAUUAAGUUUCUGCAGUUUGGUAUAUGGAUGGCUACUAAACUGGGAAUGACUUUAUCUUUUUUACUAUAAUAUAGCUACAGAAUACCAAUCACGAGCGGUUGAGCAAGGAGGUGGCUGAAAAGACUCAUCAACUCAGGCAGAUGAGGGGAGAGGAUCUGCAAGGAUUAAACAUGGAGGACUUGCAGCAAUUGGAAAAAAUGCUUGAAACAGGACUUAGCCGUGUGCUUGAAACUAAA